UUACGGCCAUAUCACACUGAAACACCAGUUCUCGUACAAUUACUGAUGUUAAGCAAUGACAGGCCUGGUCAGUACUCAGAUGGGUGACCUCUUGGAAAUACCAGAUGUUGUAA
Acanthosepion pharaonis is the source of this 113-nucleotide non-coding RNA. The record is from the annotation of a GenBank genome assembly. NCBI's taxonomy places the organism in Eukaryota, Metazoa, Mollusca, Cephalopoda, Sepiida, Sepiidae.